UACAUGUGGGGCAAGCGUUGUUCGGAAUUACUGGGCAUAAAGGGUGCGUAGGCGGCUUGUUAAGUCAGUGGUGAAAGUUUUCGGCCCAACCGGAAAAUUGCCGUUGAUACUGGCGAGCUUGAGUGCGUGAGGGAUAGGGGGAACGAGCAGUGUAGCGGUGAAAUGCGUAGAUAUUGCUCGGAAGGCCAGAGCCGAAGGGGCCCCUAUUGGUACGUAACUGACGCUGAGGCACGAAAGCGUGGGGAGCAAACAGG
This 254-nucleotide ribosomal RNA is filed under the name uncultured bacterium. RNAcentral's name for it is "partial 16S ribosomal RNA". It matches the Rfam family "Bacterial small subunit ribosomal RNA", at positions 524 to 776 of the family's 1533-position model. The record is from RNAcentral.